GGAUUAGAUACCCUGGUAGUCCACGCCCUAAACGAUGUGUGCUAGGUGUCGGGGGACUUGUCCCUUGGUGCCGGAGCUAACGUGUUAAGCACACCGCCUGGGGAGUACGGCCGCAAGGUUAAAACUCAAAGAAAUUGACGGGGGCCCGCACAAGCGGUGGAGCAUGUGGUUUAAUUCGACGCAACGCGCAGAACCUUACCAGCCCUUGACAUGCUAGGCGCGGUUCCGAGAGAUCGGUUCUUUCCUUCGGGAGUCUAGUACAGGUGCUGCAUGGCUGUCGUCAGCUCGUGCCG
RNAcentral lists this ribosomal RNA (293 nucleotides) under uncultured bacterium. RNAcentral's name for it is "partial 16S ribosomal RNA". It matches the Rfam family "Bacterial small subunit ribosomal RNA", at positions 775 to 1067 of the family's 1533-position model. The record is from RNAcentral.